GUUCAAACAUCGCUUCCCGUACGAUCACCGAAGUUAAGCAACGCCGAGCCUACUCAUUACCAGGAUAGGUGACCGUUUAGGAAUACAAGGUGUUGUAAU
Acanthosepion pharaonis is the source of this 99-nucleotide non-coding RNA. The record is from the annotation of a GenBank genome assembly. Lineage: Eukaryota; Metazoa; Mollusca; Cephalopoda; Sepiida; Sepiidae.